Molecule: long non-coding RNA, 212 nt
Filed under: Mytilus galloprovincialis (Mediterranean mussel)
Lineage: Eukaryota; Metazoa; Mollusca; Bivalvia; Mytilida; Mytilidae
Source: RNAcentral
GUGGAGCAGGAUCUGCUUACCCUUCCGGAGCACCUGAAAUCACCCCUAGUUUUUGGUGGGGUUCGUGUUGUUUAUUCUUUAGUUUUCUAUGUUAUGUCAUGUGUACUAUUGUUUUUCUGUUUGUCUUUUUCAUUUUUAGCCAUGGCGUUGUCAGUUUGUUUUCGAUUUAUGAGUUUGACUGUCCCUUUGGUAUCUUUUGUCCCUCUUUUAAG